RNAcentral lists this ribosomal RNA (253 nucleotides) under uncultured bacterium. RNAcentral describes it as "partial 16S ribosomal RNA". It matches the Rfam family "Bacterial small subunit ribosomal RNA", at positions 524 to 776 of the family's 1533-position model. The record is from RNAcentral.
UACAGAGGGUGCGAGCGUUGUCCGGAAUCACUGGGCGUAAAGGGCGCGUAGGCGGCUUGAUAAGCGUGCGGUGAAAGCCCGGGGCUCAACCCCGGGUCGGCCGUGCGAACUGUCGAGCUGGAGCACUGUAGAGGCAGGUGGAAUUCCGGGUGUAGCGGUGGAAUGCGUAGAGAUCGGAAAGAACACCAGCGGCGAAAGCACUCUGCUGGGCCGACACUGACACUGAGAGACGAAAGCUAGGGGAGCGAAUGGG